This is a long non-coding RNA of Canis lupus familiaris (dog), 2220 nucleotides long. RefSeq lists it as uncharacterized. The transcript has 3 exons. Lineage: Eukaryota; Metazoa; Chordata; Mammalia; Carnivora; Canidae. The record is from RefSeq and is a predicted model, not a curated record.
GCCAGAAGGAGGAACCAGUAGCUAGACCCUCUCCUUCUCCCCAUGGCAAGUCUGCAAACCCCCUCCAACAGGGGCCACGGGAGCAUAGAACAGUCCCAGAGGAUCCCGUGUGCAGAUGCUCAGAGCCCAGAGCUCAGGGUGGCAUCGCUGCCCCCCGGCCCUGCCCCAAGCCCGGCCUCCUCGACCACAGGGCACCGUAACCAUCAGCAGCUUGCAGGCAGCUCCCCUUGCCGUGGGUCACUGGACCGAAGCGCAGAGACGCUGAGUGAGGCCCGCGUAGCUGCCCGGCCUCCCUGGGAGGCUCACAGGGGCCCAGCUCGUCGCCCCAGGAUGAGAAAAGCCGGCAUGAGCUAGAAGAAUAGGACUUGCAGUUCUCACUGCCCAGCGUCCCGGUUUCUGCGUUAAGAAACCCAACGAACUAAAAUCUUCUUUGAGGCCUUCAUCUGGUCCUUGGGAAAACAGAAUUCUAAUGAACCAGUUUAAAGGUGACCAUGCUUCAGGCUUUCACCCAACGGCAACAAACUUCUCUAAUGCGUGAGCACCAGUCCCAAGUCAGCCACUGGACCCUGCCAGACCUACACUACUGUGGAGAAGCUGGAGGAGAGGAGAACGGACUCAGGGAAGAACUGAGCCCCAGGGUUCCACGGUGAGGAGCCUCGGUCCAUUGUCCACUUCCACACAUUGAUGUUGCGACACACAGACAAGUUCUCGGGAAGAGCUGACCUUUCAGUCCAGCCCCGGUGACUAGCAGCCCCUCUGGGCCCAGACCUGGUCUAGGUGAGAAGCAGCAGCUCUUGCUCCUGGGCAGAUGGCCAAGGUGCACCGCACCCCCUGCCUGGACCCCAGCCAGCCCUCCCCACUGGACUCGUGACCCUCUGUUUCCUGCUGCUUGGCAGGAAAUGAGUUCUGAGAGAGGACUGUGUGGGCUCCAGACAGCACACCCCCGCUUCAGGCAGAAAGUAGGAGGAAGAAGGGGAGGUCCCAACCAUAUCUGCCCCCAUCCCUCAGAAAAGCGAUGCUUUUAUUCAAAUCCUCCCAGCAGAUUUUUGCUUAGUAGUCUGGAAAGAACUGGAGCAUGUGGCCACUCCUGGCCGCAAGAAAGCCUGGGAAAAAGGGAGCAGGAUGAUCAUGACCGGCUUAGACCAAGGAUCAGCAACAUUUUCUACAAUGGGCUAGAGAGGAAACGUUUUAGACUGUGGGGGCCACAGUCCCUGCUGCAACUACUCAACUCUCCCUGGCUGUGUGAAAUCGGCCACAGACACAGAGCAAGUGGGUAUGGCUGUGCUCCAACAAAACUUUAUUGACAUUUACACUCGAGAAUCAUAUAAUGUUCAUGUGUCACAAAAUAUUCUUUGAUUUUUUCCAACCAUUUAAGAAAAUAUCAAAAACCAUUUUAGCUCAUGGGCCACACAAAACCAGGAGGCAGCCAUGUUUGGCUCUCGGGUGGUAGUUUGCCAGUCCUUGGCUUAGACCAGUCAUGAUCCAUUGCCUGGGGCUGAGCACACUGUCACUCCAAGGAAGGGUGUGUGUUUGGUAUGUAGUGUGGUAUAUGUGUGUUUACCAACACCCACUUGGGGUGUAUUACAUGAGCAACUAAUAGUGUUCCCCACAAGCCAUAUUGUCACUGCACAAGAAGAUUUGGAUCCAAACCAUCCAAACUUGAGAGCCUGCCCUCUUAGCCUCUAUGCUAACAUCCUCUGCUCAGAGACCUUAGCUCACUAUGAAGGUAAGGCUGGGGGAGGAGACAUGUAAUCAGGCAUCAGGAUUUGGAUGUCACCAAGAUGGCUCACGCAGGGACACAAGCCUAUACACUCCUGAGACUUUUCAGUGGCCUCUUCUCUUGGGAGGACCCGGAUGGGAGAUCAGAGGAGCAAGGGUACAGGGAGGAAGGGGGACCUCCCACCUCCCUCCCUCCCCAUGGGAAUGCACAUCCCCCCCCCCCCACCACCAACUGUAGGGAUCGGGUGGGGGCUUCCCUCCGGCCCUGGAGCAGGAUUUCCGUUUCCCUUGACAUUGAUAGACCGGAAAUUGGGUCUUAUUCUCAUGGUAGGAAAAGAAGGCCUCCCACUCUCCCUAGCUUCCUUUUUGUCUUGCUUUUCCCUUCUGCCCGUUCCAGUACUGAAGAGAUUCAGGGAGAUAUCUAACAGCUGAGGAAGCCUGAAAAAAUAUGUAAGCUAAGACAUGUCAUCCUUUCAGCCAUUAAAAAUUUUCUUUAGCUCC